UACGUAUGGUGCAAGCGUUAUCCGGAUUUACUGGGUGUAAAGGGAGCGCAGGCGGCGCGCCAAGUCCGGUGUGAAAGCCCGGGGCUCAACCCCGGGACUGCACUGGAAACUGGCGAGCUAGAGUGCCGGAGGGGUAGGCGGAAUUCCUGGUGUAGCGGUGAAAUGCGUAGAUAUCAGGAGGAACACCGGUGGCGAAGGCGGCCUACUGGACGGCAACUGACGCUGAGGCUCGAAAGCGUGGGGAGCAAACAGG
This 253-nucleotide ribosomal RNA is filed under the name uncultured bacterium. RNAcentral's name for it is "partial 16S ribosomal RNA". It matches the Rfam family "Bacterial small subunit ribosomal RNA", at positions 524 to 776 of the family's 1533-position model. The record is from RNAcentral.